AUACACAUGGUGAAACGGCAUCAUGCUUAUCUUCCAUUAACCUGUAUGCAAGCGGCCGGGGUUCGACUCCUUGUGUGUGUA
Molecule: transfer RNA, 81 nt
Filed under: Sphaerobolus stellatus SS14
Lineage: Eukaryota; Fungi; Basidiomycota; Agaricomycetes; Geastrales; Sphaerobolaceae
Description: tRNA-Gly
Rfam family: tRNA
About the family: Transfer RNA (tRNA) molecules are approximately 80 nucleotides in length. Their secondary structure includes four short double-helical elements and three loops (D, anti-codon, and T loops).
Source: RNAcentral